CAGUCGCCGCGGGAAGACGGAGGGUCCGAGCGUUAAUCGGAAUUACUGGGCGUAAAGCGUGCGCAGGCGGUUUGUUAAGCGAGAUGUGAAAGCCCUGGGCUCAACCUAGGAAUAGCAUUUCGAACUGGCGAACUAGAGUUUUGUAGAGGGGGGUAGAAUUCCAGGUGUAGCGGUGAAAUGCGUAGAGAUCUGGAGGAAUACCGGUGGCGAAGGCGGCCCCCUGGACAAAGACUGACGCUCAUGCACGAAAGCGUGGGGAGCAAACAGGAUUAGAUACCCGUGUAGUCCCUGUCUCUUAUAC
This 301-nucleotide ribosomal RNA is filed under the name uncultured bacterium. RNAcentral describes it as "partial 16S ribosomal RNA". It matches the Rfam family "Bacterial small subunit ribosomal RNA", at positions 509 to 807 of the family's 1533-position model. The record is from RNAcentral.